UGCGCCCGCACCCAAUCACCCGCGUCUCGCCCCACUCCCACCCCAGCCGCCAAACGAACCCUAGCCCUCUUUCUCUUUCCCCUCGAUCCCCACGAGCCGCCGCACCCCUCCCUCGAUCCCCACCAUCGUCUCCUCGCCAGCAGCCUCCGGCCGACCUCGUCUCUCCACUCGCCUCCUCCUCUCCUCUAUCAUGUCGCCGUCGAUCCCACUGCCAGCCUUCUCCUCUGCUUGCCUCCUCCUGUCCUCUUCCAUGUCACCGUCGAUCCAGAUCGGACGUAGGUCGUCUUCGCGAUGUGGGUGCGGAUGUAGGGGAGGUGUAGGAUGCGGACGACAAGGGAAGGAGGAGGCCGGCGAGGAAGGCAAGCACAGCGGGGGAGGAGAAGGUGAGCGAUCCUAGCAUGGGGAAGGGGCAGGGUGAGGCCUCGCUCACCUGUCGGCAGCCGAGUUGUUGCGCCACCGCGUCGUCACCUCCUCUGCACCAUGAGAGGCGCCACCUCUGCCUCCACCCCCCCACUGGGCAAGGAGCUCGAGGCAGGCGGUCUGGGAAGGCCAGAGGAACCAGGAGCUCAUCCCUCCUCCCAUGGCUGCCUCGUGGAUCUGGAGGUGCCUGUUGCAGGCGGCGCGAGCGAUGCAAGCCGGCGGCGAACUAGGUCCAUGGACAUUGUCAUAAUGGUCACCUUAUCGCAGUGUAUUAUUUUUGGAUCUCAUAUUCCUCAAGGCGCUCCAUCCUCUGAUUCAAUGUCUGACGAUCUAAGAAAUAAGAGGAGGAAUAAUCUAGCAGAAGAAUUUGGUGAAGAAGAACAAGAUUGUGAUGUCCAUAUAUGGGGAUUUUUUUGUCAAUUUUGUUGCUUCAGUAUGUAGGUGCUACUGUCCAUGUGGGAUAUCUAAUAGGUCAGACUGGUUUGCUAGCUUAAUUUUUUAGCUUGAUGUUUUCAUUUAGGGGUGUCCUCUUCAGCUGCAUCUUUUGUGCAGCUACAAAAUUCUAUGUUUCAAAGCACUUAUUUCCAUAUUCUGUUUAUUAUUUUUAAGUCAUGAAAACUCUUUUCGGUCUGCUUGAUCACUCCACUUCCAUGUUUAUCCUUGCAGAAAAGAAUACCUUUAUCCUGAUAGGCAUGGAAACACCGGUUCGCAUUGAGUGCAUCAUCGCUAAUCAGCUACUAUGUAUGGUCAGCGGACAUGCUUGCUUAUUCCUGUAACAUAUCAUUACUCUAUCUGCUUAGCCUUUCUAACUUUUAAGAUUUGAUCAAUUCUUUAGAAGUUCAUACAGAUCUGGAAGUAUUUGGUUUUGUUGGUCAAAUCCGUUACAUGUAUGUCCUUGUUUAUUUUAUUGUUCGAACAAGAUAUCAGAUCACCUACAUUCAUUAUUCUUGAUUACAGUCUCGUACUAAAGUAAUCUAAAAUGGUCCGAAUAGUUGUAGUAAUUCAUAAAUAUUUUCAGUGUAGUUCUUAUUUGGUUUCUAGGCAUAGAUUUUACUUCAAAAUUUUGAUCUUUAUUUGGUUAGUAAGGCUCUAGAAUAAAACAGACCAAUGAUAUAUAUACAAAUAGACACAAUAGGAGUUAACUGGUACCUAGCUUUUGAAACCUCUGAUAUAUACAAAAUAUUAUUUGAGUAGAACAGGAGAGAUGCAAUCUUAUGGAUAUUUCUGCAUUUGUAAGAAACUUUCCAGCUUGGCAAGAGGGCUUGACUAGCCAUGUGUAGGACUCAGCCAUGCUGCCUUCCAAAUGAUUAGUCAUUGGUGUUUUCUUAUGUUCCUGUUAGCCCAAGUGCAACAGAUAAGUAGACUGUUAUGUUGAAAAAAGGAAAGAGACUACUCUUUUGUUACUUACAGUACAGAUAUAAGCUAUAACAUCAGAGAGCAAUGGAUAUAGAAGAAAUAUGUAAACAGUUGUCCCUAGAAGAAAUAUGCAACUACUUAUUCAGUAGAGAGCAAGGGACAUAUAAGAAAUCUCCAGGUAGCUUCACUUAGAUGCAUCAUCUUCUGCUAGGAGUCAGCUUGAAGAACGACCUUCUCAGGUUAAUUCUUGGGAGACUGCAACUGACAUGCUGGAUGGGGAAUAACCAAAUUUGUGGACAAAGACAAAGAGUUCAUCGCAAGGGGUGGUGUUUAGGAUAUAUACACAAAAGAGGAAACUUUUUUUUGUACAGAACCAAAUUAUAUGAUGUAAUUGACCACUAUUUCUAAGAAAUGUUCAUCAUGUAUUAAGUACAUUUUAUUGUGUCACUUCUUUUGAGGGAUAGCUUUAUUCAUCAAACAUCACAAAGUGUGUGAUAGAGUU
Molecule: RNA transcript, 2278 nt
Organism: Triticum aestivum (bread wheat)
Lineage: Eukaryota; Viridiplantae; Streptophyta; Magnoliopsida; Poales; Poaceae
Exons: 6
Source: RefSeq, a predicted model, not a curated record